UACGAAGGGGGCUAGCGUUGCUCGGAAUUACUGGGCGUAAAGCGCACGUAGGCGGCUUUCUAAGUCGGGGGUGAAAUCCUGGAGCUCAACUCCAGAACUGCCUUCGAUACUGGAGAGCUCGAGUCCGGGAGAGGUGAGUGGAACUGCGAGUGUAGAGGUGAAAUUCGUAGAUAUUCGCAAGAACACCAGUGGCGAAGGCGGCUCACUGGCCCGGUACUGACGCUGAGACGCGAAAGCGUGGGGAGCGAACAGG
This 253-nucleotide ribosomal RNA is filed under the name uncultured bacterium. Its description in RNAcentral is "partial 16S ribosomal RNA". It matches the Rfam family "Bacterial small subunit ribosomal RNA", at positions 524 to 776 of the family's 1533-position model. The record is from RNAcentral.